AGGGGGGCCUGGGUUGAGGGGAAAAGAGGGGGCCUGGGUUGAGGGGAAAAGAGGGGGCCUGCGCAGUGUAAUUAACCAAAAAACCUCUGGGCCAUCGAGACACAGCUCUCACCUAAGCUUCUGCCAUAUUGUAAUAGUGAGUUCUAACAAGCCUUUAAAUGAAACUCGUCGUAGUUAAACACUAAUAUCCAUCCCCCCUCCUCCUGUACUGCUGACCGGCAGCCAUUUUAAACACUAAUAUCCAUCCCCCCUCCUCCUGUACUGCUGACCGGCAGCCAUUUUGAACACUAAUAUCCAUCCCCCUCCUCCUGUACAGCUGACCGGCAGCCAUUUUGAAACUGGUCGUAGUUAAACACUAAUAUCCAUCCCCCCUCCUCCUGUACUGCUGACCGGCAGCCAUUUUGAAACACUAAUAUCCAUCCCCCCUCCUCCUGCACUGCUGACCGGCAGCCAUUUUAAACACUAAUAUCCAUCCCCCCUCCUCCUGUACUGCUGACCGGCAGCCAUUUUGAAACACUAAUAUCCAUCCCCCCGCCUCCUGUACUGCUGACCGGCAGCCAUUUUAAACACUAAUAUCCAUCCCCCCUCCUCCUGUACUGCUGACCGGCAGCCAUUUUAAACACUAAUAUCCAUCCCCCUCCUCCUGUACUGCUGACCGGCAGCCAUUUUGAAACUCGUCGUAGUUAAACACUAAUAUCCAUCCCCCCUCCUCCUGUACUGCUGACCGGCAGCCAUUUUGAAACUCGUCGCAGUUAAACACUAAUAUCCAUCCCCCUCCUCCUGUACUGCUGACCGGCAGCCAUUUUGAAACUCGUCGCAGUUAAACACUAAUAUCCAUCCCCCUCCUCCUGUACUGCUGACCGGCAGCCAUUUUGAAACUCGUCGCAGUUAAACACUAAUAUCCAUCCCCCUCCUCCUGUACUGCUGACCGGCAGCCAUUUUAAUGACAACCUUUCUUGGUAGAGCAGGGAGAAGUCUCCCUACCAGCGGACAGAUGUGGUUCUAUCUCUGUGGAUGUUUGUGUAAUAUUUGCUGUUAAAAAUGAAGGCUAUUUUGUAAAAGGGAAAAAGACUGGUUGUGUUGUCUGUUUUUUGUCUCCGGUGUUCAGUGUAUUUGCAGAUGCUAACGUUAAUAUAAUAGUAUACAACAGGUUCAUGUUCAUUUAGCAAAGCCUGGGUUCCAUUGAAGGGAAGAGUCCCUGUUUGAUUCCACCAUUGUGAUUAUACUGGUCUCUAGUGGUUUCUAUGAGGUUCUAGUGGUCUCUAGUGGUUUCUAUGGGUUUCUAGUGGUCUCUAGUGGUUUCUACUGGUCUCUAGUGGUCUCUAGUGGUUUAUAUGGGUUUCUACUGGUCUCUAGUGGUUUAUAUGGGUUUCUACUGGUCUCUACUGGUCUCUAGUGGUUUCUACUGGUUUCUACUGGUUUCUACUGGUCUCUAGUGGUUUCUAUGGGUUUCUAGUGGUUUCUAUGGGGUUCUAGUGGUCUCUAGUGGUUUCUAUGGGUUUCUAGUGGUUUCUAUGGGUUUCUAGUGGUCUCUAGUGGUUUAUAUGGGUUUCUACUGGUCUCUAGUGGUUUCUACUGGUUUCUACUGGUCUCUAGUGGUCUCUAAUGGAUGUCCACCUGAACAUUUUUCUGACACUGCAGUGUUGCACUUUCUUAUCUACCAAGUAGAUUAUUAUACGUUUUGAUAAUCAAAUUAUUUCUGUAAUAAAAAUCCAACAACAAGAAACAUCUGAAUAUCUGUGUGUGGACAUUGUAAAGCGUUUGUAGACGGUAAAGUUGUGAAGUCUGUUGGCUGUUGCAAAGUUAUGUAUUUUCUGAGAUCAUUGUCUUCAAAGGGGUAUGUAAAAGAAAAUAUAUAUAUAUUCACUGCGUUUCAUCUUCUUUCAGGAAAUGCCACUCGCGGCUUCCUGAAUUCUACAACGCAGCACAUUGUGUGCAGGUCAUAGGUACUCUAGGUUUGAUUGUAAACACACCUGUUGGACAGUCACAAUCCCUUUCUGUUGCUCGUCCCAUCUUUACUGAACUCAAUUGUGGCUAAAUAGUUUUUAUAAUGCUUGUGUUAGCUGUACUCCAACUAUUGCCUCACUAGUACAGUUUAUAACGUAUCCUGCUCCAGUUAUGUGUAAAUAUAAAGUCACAUUAUUAUGAAGGAAAAUGAAUUGAAGGGCAUAUUGACUUCAUGUGUGUAGGAAUUUAUAUGAUUGAGUUGAUAUAUUAUUGUAAAAUGUUUUUCUGUUGGGAGGUGUACAGUAUACUGCAUGAUUAUAAACUAUCAAUAAUCUCUGUUGGGAGGCGUACAGUAUACUGCAUGAUUAUAAACUAUCAAUAAUCUCUGUUGGGAGGCGUACAGUAUACUGCAUGAUUAUAAACUAUCAAUAAUCUCUGUUGGGAGGCGUACAGUAUACUGCAUGAUUAUAAACUAUCAAUAAUCUCUGUUGGGAGGCGUACAGUAUACUGCAUGAUUAUAAACUAUGAAUAAUCUCUGUUGGGAGGCGUACAGUAUACUGCAUGAUUAUAAACUAUGAAUAAUCUCUGUUGGGAGGCGUACAGUAUACUGCAUGAUUAUAAACUAUGAAUAAUCUCUGUUGGGAGGCGUACAGUAUACUGCAUGAUUAUAAACUAUGAAUAAUCUCUGUUGGGAGGUGUACAGUAUACUGCAUGAUUAUAAACUAUGAAUAAUCUCUGUUGGGAGGCGUACAGUAUACUGCAUGAUUAUAAACUAUGAAUAAUCUCUGUUGGGAGGCGUACAGUAUACUGCAUGAUUAUAAACUAUGAAUAAUCUCUGUUGGGAGGCGUACAGUAUACUGCAUGAUUAUAAACUAUCAAUAAUCUCUGUUGGGAGGUGUACAGUAUACUGCAUGAUUAUAAACUAUCAAUAAUCUCUGUUGGGAGGCGUACAGUAUACUGCAUGAUUAUAAACUAUCAAUAAUCUCUGUUGGGAGGCGUACAGUAUACUGCAUGAUUAUAAACUAUCAAUAAUCUCUGUUGGGAGGCGUACAGUAUACUGCAUGAUUAUAAACUAUCAAUAAUCUCUGUUGGGAGGCGUACAGUAUACUGCAUGAUUAUAAACUAUCAAUAAUCUCUGUUGGGAGGCGUACAGUAUACUGCAUGAUUAUAAACUAUCAAUAAUCUCUGUUGGGAGGCGUACAGUAUACUGCAUGAUUAUAAACUAUCAAUAAUCUCUGUUGGGAGGCGUACAGUAUACUGCAUGAUUAUAAACUAUGAAUCUCUGUUGGGAGGCAUAUAUUGAAUAUAUCUUCACAGUCCUCAUGUUUUCUGCAGUGGGGGGGUACACCCCAAAUGGCCCCCUAUUCCCUAUAUAAUGAGCCCAUAGAGCGCUGGUUAGAAGUAGUUCACUCUACAGGGGAUAGGAGGCCAUUUUGGACGGACUCCUCAUUGUUGUUGUUGUUCUCCUGUUGGUUUCCAUGGUUUCACUCUGUUACCUCCUUUCUUACUGCCGGAUACAAAACAGCUGUGGGGACAAUGUCUUGCUGUUGAUCGAUGUACAGUCCGUUAUUUUAUCAUUGUGUAUGUAUGUUUGUCCUCGGUCAACUUAAAUCUCAAUAAACUAUGUGAAUAAACUGAA
This is a non-coding RNA of Oncorhynchus mykiss (rainbow trout), 3586 nucleotides long. NCBI's taxonomy places the organism in Eukaryota, Metazoa, Chordata, Actinopteri, Salmoniformes, Salmonidae. The record is from RefSeq and is a predicted model, not a curated record.